AUUUGUGCUGUAGGCCUGUUUCUUGGGCUACAAGUUGAAGACUUAUUCCUCAGCUAUUCAUCUAGGGAAAGUCCCCGGACCUUGGGUAGAGAGUUCCAUAUGCUCAUCCUCAUAGACUUUUCCCAAGCCUCACAAUUAGUCCAUCAGGAAGCAAAUCCAGCCCUUGUGGUGAGGGAGCUGAACAGCAUCUUGUGGGAUGUUAUCCAUCAGCUCUUCUAGAAAAACAGAGUGAGCUCAAACAAAUAACCUAAUGAUGAACCUCAAAGGUCUAGAAAAACAGGAACAAUUCAAACCCAAAGUUAGUACAAG
This 309-nucleotide long non-coding RNA is filed under the name Chinchilla lanigera (long-tailed chinchilla). RNAcentral describes it as "RNase MRP (ENSCLAG00000021501.1)". The stretch from base 16 to 227 matches the Rfam family "RNase MRP", at positions 16 to 215 of the family's 266-position model. From Rfam's summary of the family: RNase MRP is an enzymatically active ribonucleoprotein with two distinct roles in eukaryotes. In mitochondria it plays a direct role in the initiation of mitochondrial DNA replication. In the nucleus it is involved in precursor rRNA processing, where it cleaves the internal transcribed spacer 1 between 18S and 5.8S rRNAs. Lineage: Eukaryota; Metazoa; Chordata; Mammalia; Rodentia; Chinchillidae. The record is from RNAcentral.